UACGGAGGGUGCAAGCGUUGUUCGGAAUUACUGGGCGUAAAGCACGCGUAGGCGGCUUGGUAAGUUGGAAGUGAAAUCCCAGGGCUUAACUCUGGAACUGCUUUCAAAACUAUCAAGCUAGAGUAUGGCAGGGGACAGUGGAAUUCCUAGUGUAGAGGUGAAAUUCGUAGAUAUUAGGAGGAACACCAGUGGCGAAAGCGACUGUCUGACCAUUACUGACGCUGAGGCGUGAAAGCGUGGGGAGCAAACAGG
RNAcentral lists this ribosomal RNA (252 nucleotides) under uncultured bacterium. RNAcentral describes it as "partial 16S ribosomal RNA". It matches the Rfam family "Bacterial small subunit ribosomal RNA", at positions 524 to 776 of the family's 1533-position model. The record is from RNAcentral.